CGGGUGACGAGCGGCGAACGGCUGAGUAACACGUUGGUACCUACCCCAGACUCAGGGAUAACCCACCGAAAGGUGAGCUAAUACCGGAUAGUCUCGUAAGAGUAAAGCUUUUGCGGUCUGGGAGGGGCCUGCGGCCUAUCAGGUAGUUGGUAAGGUAAAAGCUUACCAAGCCUAUGACGGGUAGCUGGUGUGAGAGCAUGACCAGCCAGAAUGGGACUGAGACACGGCCCAUACUCC
RNAcentral lists this ribosomal RNA (237 nucleotides) under uncultured bacterium. RNAcentral's name for it is "partial 16S ribosomal RNA". It matches the Rfam family "Bacterial small subunit ribosomal RNA", at positions 85 to 339 of the family's 1533-position model. The record is from RNAcentral.